UACAUAAAACCUUGAUUGCAUUUGGUUUCCACACUCAAGAAGCGAACGUAGAUUCUGGAGCAAUUAUUUUACUGUAAAACAAAAUGAGGUUUCUUAUAUUUUUCUUAAUAAUAGUAAUUUGCAUUGUGUUCGUGACGUGUUCGCACACGUUUAUGGGCACGAAUGUGUGGAGACAACAAGUGCAUCGCAAAGAUGUACGAUUCAGUGCGAAUUAUAUAAGAAAACGCGUUGAAAAUGUUACAUUUGCCAUCCCGGCUACGAACUACCGGCGUUCUAUACAGGGUAUUCUUGCUUACGACCUGACUAAUUCUAGCGCGACAGCCAACGUCACUGCGGGCGGGAUCGGGUACUCUUACGUCACGUUGCGUCUGAGCAACGACCGCGGGCGUGAAAUUCAUUAUGAUAUCAAUAUUUACGUUUAAUUCAUUCAAUUAAAAGCAUGAAAUAAAUUAAUACAGCAAUUAAAA
Long non-coding RNA from Vanessa tameamea, 467 nucleotides. RefSeq lists it as uncharacterized. The transcript has 2 exons. NCBI's taxonomy places the organism in Eukaryota, Metazoa, Arthropoda, Insecta, Lepidoptera, Nymphalidae. The record is from RefSeq and is a predicted model, not a curated record.